RNAcentral lists this long non-coding RNA (1776 nucleotides) under Rattus norvegicus (Norway rat). RNAcentral's name for it is "long non-coding RNA NONRATT034108". The record is from RNAcentral. Lineage: Eukaryota; Metazoa; Chordata; Mammalia; Rodentia; Muridae.
UUUUCCCACCUCAGUCAAAAAGUUUAAAGCAAGACCAAUACUAAGAUUGUUUUGAGCUGUUCCAUCCAGAGGAUUUUUUUUUCCUCAUUAGAUCUUCUUACCAGAAAAAAUAUUUACAUAUUCUGUAGAAAUUAAUUCAUUCUGAGCAAGGAUUUUUUUUUUUUAACGGGAACAUUCUCAGGUAAUGUCUAUUUAAUCAAAUGCAAUCUCUGACACAAGCUCAACCUACAGAAAGCCACGGUGCUUUUUUUUUUCUUUUUUAAUAGGAGCAGGCACAAGAAGAAAUAAACUAUACCAGAAACACACAUUCCAGUCCUACAGUUCAAGCACUAUUUCGAGAAAAGUGAAAAUAAAGUCCCACAUCUCCCUAGGCAACAGACGGUUCUUGAGGGGAGGCUAGGUGCAGAGUAUGCCCCAAUACAUGUUCAACACCCAACAUUCUGCCUCUUCCAGUUGCCUGAAUUCCCGCCACCCACCAGGGACACUGGACAACUUCACCAGAUGGUGCUCCCGGACUAUGGGAGGCGACCUCGCACCGGAGCUCACCUUGAUGUAGCCAGCCAGAAGAACAACGGGCGCCCAGAGCCUGAGUAGCAGCAAGACAAGAAGCUUGCCGGUGGCCGCCAUCCCUGGCCUGGUCGCCGUGGCCUGGGCUCUCCUACACUCAUGCACAGCCAGACCAGAGCGUCUCCCUAUCAGCAUCAAAAACCUUCUGAAGCCGGCUCACCGCCACUCUGGUGGGUUUUAACCGACUUCAACAGACUUCACAAAACCACGCCCUUCUUCAACAGGAUCCAAUACAAGCAGGCAUAAGUAGCCUAACUUGCCGCCCCUUGUUUAACCAAGGCCCAAUCAGAGCAUGGAUGCACCGUCUCCCCUCCCCGUCCAGCGCGUGCCCCCGCAUGGCCCCGCCCCAAGACACGACAGCCCCGCCCCUGCUCUGGACUCCAGGCUGGGGAAUCAGGAGUAUUGUGGGCAGACCAUGGGCCGCUGUUCCUAAGGCCUGAGGCUCCUGCGUGGUUAUCUAUUGGGGUGGCUCUACAUCAUCCACCUUCAGCCUAGGGAUUCAGGCACGCCCCACUCCCCCGUCCCUGCGGGAUAUUUUCCGAUUCCUUUGGGUACAGCUCUCUUUGGAGCUUCUGGAAAAUGUUUUAAUUAAAAAACAGGAUGAAUUGUUGGGAGGUCCGGACAGUUAGGAGGGGCUUAGUGAAUCAGUUUCAAGGAUAUCCUGAAAUUGUUUUAAAUUGCUGAAGGAGCUUUCCCAAAGGAUACAAUGUUUCAAUCUACCCUCCUGUUACCCUACAGGGGGGAAGGCUCCAUCUACACUGCUACAGCUUUUUCAGGGAAGCAUUAAUUUUUUGGGGGGUCAAAGGUCUCCAAUUGUAGCCUGCUGGGGAAAGAGCUCACACACCACCAGUUAGUAACCCCUUUUCUACCCUCUGUAAGGAAGUGCAAUAAACUCCCUGAGGCCCCACAGUGAACUCUAGCCUCAUACCUCAGUUUGUCACUGUGACUUUGGGAAUGGAGAAUAGACCUUGUUUACCACGACCCAAGGGAAGGAAUUUUAGCUACAUGUGUUUAGCUCAGUACACAGUCCUUAAGUAAGUGCCUGGUUCAGAAUGGUAGGAUCAUUGUUUAGAAGAUUAGAAAAAAGGGACCAGAGAUGGCAAUAGGACAAUAGUAGCUCACUAUUGAGCAGCGAUUUUUAAAUUUACAAAUUUCUUUUGUAUACAUUCUCUGGUUUCAUAUUCAUAUGGACCCUGUACAGCUCAGUUA